GAACUGCGAUAAGUAAUGUGAAUUGCAGAAUUCAGUGAAUCAUCGAGUCUUUGAACGCACAUUGCGCCCCCUGGCAUUCCGGGGGGCAUGCCUAUCCGAGCGUCAUUGCUGCCCUUCAAGCCCGGCUUGUGUGUUGGGUCGUCGUCCCCUCCGGGGGACGGGCCCGAAAGGCAGCGGCGGCACCGCGUCCGGUCCUCGAGCGUAUGGGGCUUUGUCACCCGCUCGAUAAGGACCGGCCGGGCGCCAGCCGGCGUCUCCAACCUUUUUUUCUCAGGUUGACCUCGGAUCAGGUAGGGAUACCCGCUGAACUUAAGC
Molecule: unclassified non-coding RNA, 315 nt
Filed under: plant metagenome
Description: partial contains 5.8S ribosomal RNA, internal transcribed spacer 2, and large subunit ribosomal RNA
Rfam family: 5.8S ribosomal RNA (bases 1-105)
Source: RNAcentral